CCUACGGGCGGCAGCAGUGGGGAAUAUUGGACAAUGGGGGGAACCCUGAUCCAGCCAUGCCGCGUGUGUGAAGAAGGCCCUCGGGUUGUAAAGCACUUUCAGUGAGGAAGAACGCCUGGUGGUUAAUACCCAUCAGGAAAGACAUCACUCACAGAAGAAGCACCGGCUAACUCCGUGCCAGCAGCCGCGGUAAUACGGAGGGUGCGAGCGUUAAUCGGAAUUACUGGGCGUAAAGCGCGCGUAGGUGGCUUGAUAAGCCGGUUGUGAAAGCCCCGGGCUGAACCUGGGAACGGCAUCCGGAACUGUCAAGCUAGAGUGCAGGAGAGGAAGGUAGAAUUCCCGGUGUAGCGGUGAAAUGCGUAGAGAUCGGGAGGAAUACCAGUGGCGAAGGCGGCCUUCUGGACUGACACUGACACUGAGGUGCGAAAGCGUGGGUAGCAAACAGGAUUAGAUACCCUUGUAGUC
RNAcentral lists this ribosomal RNA (465 nucleotides) under Vreelandella stevensii. RNAcentral describes it as "partial 16S ribosomal RNA". It matches the Rfam family "Bacterial small subunit ribosomal RNA", at positions 338 to 795 of the family's 1533-position model. Lineage: Bacteria; Pseudomonadati; Pseudomonadota; Gammaproteobacteria; Oceanospirillales; Halomonadaceae. The record is from RNAcentral.